This 332-nucleotide ribosomal RNA is filed under the name uncultured Gemmatimonas sp. RNAcentral's name for it is "bacterial SSU rRNA". It matches the Rfam family "Bacterial small subunit ribosomal RNA", at positions 568 to 898 of the family's 1533-position model. The record is from RNAcentral. Lineage: Bacteria; Pseudomonadati; Gemmatimonadota; Gemmatimonadia; Gemmatimonadales; Gemmatimonadaceae.
CGCGUAGGUGGUCUUGUAAGUUUGUGGUGAAAGCCCGGGGCUCAACCCCGGGUCUGCCGCGGAUACUGCGAGACUUGAGUACUGUAGAGGCAGGUAGAAUAUCGGGUGUAGCGGUGGAAUGCGUAGAGAUCCGAUAGAAGACCGGUGGCGAAGGCGGCCUGCUGGGCAGUAACUGACACUGAGGCGCGACAGCGUGGGGAGCAAACAGGAUUAGAUACCCUGGUAGUCCACGCCGUAAACGAUGGGUACUAGGUGCUUGGGGGAGCGACCCCCUGAGUGCCGGCGCUAACGCAGGAAGUACCCCGCCUGGGGAGUACGGCCGCAAGGCUGAA